Long non-coding RNA from Siniperca chuatsi (mandarin fish), 857 nucleotides. RefSeq lists it as uncharacterized. NCBI's taxonomy places the organism in Eukaryota, Metazoa, Chordata, Actinopteri, Centrarchiformes, Sinipercidae. The record is from RefSeq and is a predicted model, not a curated record. The transcript is spliced from 4 exons.
CGCGAGAUCCAAAGGACUGGCGCGAGAAGGACAAGAGCAUGGAUCCAAGCCCAACCAAACUACUGUAACACGCCUGAAUUGUUGCUGCUUGGCUCUGUUUAAAACUAGAGGACUGUGUUGAUUAUCGACUGAGUCAUUCAUCAGAUGGCCACAUUUCUCAGAAUGCAACUUCUUCAGUUGAAGCAUUCUGGCAGAGAAGAGUCCGGGGUCUGUCUGAAGGAGUUGAAGAGAUGGGUAGUAUCCGCUGGGACCUGGCUGGAUGUCUUCUGCUAAGCUGAAUCAUUUGUUACUUCUGUAUCUGGAAAGUAGUCAAGUCUUCAGGAAAGGGCAUAUUGCUCUUCGUCAAAUUCACCCCUCCUGAGGUACAACGACAACUACCAGUACCCAAGGUGAGGCCAUGCCCUCGGGCUAUUGCUCGCUUUCUUUUUAGCCCUCAUGGUGCCACAGUGAUUUAUCUACAGUCUGGCUGUAACUCCAGGAACACUCAGACAGGUACUCUGAGUAUCACACUAUUGCAGAUGACCUGUUGAGAGCACCAAUGAAGAAAACUCUCAACUCUGAAACAUGUCCUUCCUACAAAGAACAUGAACUGUGUGCUCUGAACAUGACUGAAGAAAGUAUAAUUUCUACCAGGGUUUGAAAGACUUUAAAAAUCCUUUCGAAAAAUGGUCUGAAAUGUAUAUAACAGCAUGUUUUAUUUGGUUUAUAUGACUCUGGUUCUUCAUAGCUGUGAACAAAAAACUGAACAACUGCAACACAUUCUGUACAUUUUAUGGUUAAAUUAAUACUUGCCCUAAAACACAAUAUUAUAUAAGUGUUUUACUUCUGACAAAUUUUAAUUUAAUUGAAUAUAACAG